AAACCAUGAUGAGGACAACAUCGAAAUAAUUCUUUGUAUCCUUCCCUAACCGCAUACAAUGAUUCAGAAUCUUGUUGCAUGAAUGAUGUGAUAUCAUUCCUCAUUUU
Molecule: small nucleolar RNA, 107 nt
Filed under: Theobroma cacao (cacao)
Lineage: Eukaryota; Viridiplantae; Streptophyta; Magnoliopsida; Malvales; Malvaceae
Description: Plant small nucleolar RNA R71
Rfam family: Plant small nucleolar RNA R71
About the family: R71 is a member of the C/D box family of snoRNAs containing the C (UGAUGA) and D (CUGA) box motifs. Multiple nearly identical copies of this snoRNA have been identified in Arabidopsis, and it is thought to function as a 2'-O-ribose methylation guide for 18S ribosomal RNA.
Source: Rfam by way of RNAcentral